GUCUGUAUGACUCAGAUCCGGGUCACUCGGUAUCUGGGCGGCUUGAGAAGGAGCUGACAAGCUCGGACUUCUCCGCCCGCCACCCUGGAAGACGUUCCAGGGGA
This is a non-coding RNA of Mesocricetus auratus (golden hamster), 104 nucleotides long. The record is from Rfam. Lineage: Eukaryota; Metazoa; Chordata; Mammalia; Rodentia; Cricetidae.